GCCCGUUUAGCUCAGUGGUAGAGCGCGCCACUCGUAAUUGUUUACGUAAUAUGGUGAGGUCGGUUGUUCAAUCCAGCCAGUGGGCA
This is a non-coding RNA of Fomitopsis serialis, 86 nucleotides long. NCBI's taxonomy places the organism in Eukaryota, Fungi, Basidiomycota, Agaricomycetes, Polyporales, Fomitopsidaceae. The record is from the annotation of a RefSeq genome assembly.